AGUUUUUCAAUGAGUUCUUAUAGC
Molecule: non-coding RNA, 24 nt
Filed under: Arabidopsis thaliana (thale cress)
Lineage: Eukaryota; Viridiplantae; Streptophyta; Magnoliopsida; Brassicales; Brassicaceae
Source: RNAcentral